Molecule: ribosomal RNA, 1445 nt
Filed under: uncultured bacterium
Lineage: Bacteria
Description: bacterial SSU rRNA
Rfam family: Bacterial small subunit ribosomal RNA
Source: RNAcentral
AGAGUUUGAUCCUGGCUCAGGAUGAACGCUGGCCGCGUGCUUAACACAUGCAAGUCGAACGAACCUUCGGGUUAGUGGCGGACGGGUGAGUAACGCGUGAGAAUCUGCCCUCAGGAGGGGGAUAACGGUUGGAAACGACCGCUAAUACCCCAUAUGCCGCGAGGUGAAAUGAAUUUCGCCUGAGGAUGAGCUCGCGUCUGAUUAGCUAGUUGGUGGGGUAAAGGCUUACCAAGGCAUCGAUCAGUAGCUGGUCUGAGAGGAUGAUCAGCCACACUGGGACUGAGACACGGCCCAGACUCCUACGGGAGGCAGCAGUGGGGAAUUUUCCGCAAUGGGCGAAGGCCUGACGGAGCAACGCCGCGUGAGGGAUGAAGGCCUCUGGGCUGUAAACCUCUUUUAUCAAGGAAGAAGAUCUGACGGUACUUGAUGAAUAAGCCACGGCUAAUUCCGUGCCAGCAGCCGCGGUAAUACGGGAGUGGCAAGCGUUAUCCGGAAUUAUUGGGCGUAAAGCGUCCGCAGGCGGCCCUUCAAGUCUGCUGUUAAAAAGUGGAGCUUAACUCCAUCAUGGCAGUGGAAACUGUUGGGCUUGAGUGUGGUAGGGGCAGAGGGAAUUCCCGGUGUAGCGGUGAAAUGCGUAGAUAUCGGGAAGAACACCAGUGGCGAAGGCGCUCUGCUGGGCCAUCACUGACGCUCAUGGACGAAAGCCAGGGGAGCGAAAGGGAUUAGAUACCCCUGUAGUCCUGGCCGUAAACGAUGAACACUAGGUGUCGGGGGAAUCGACCCCCUCGGUGUCGUAGCCAACGCGUUAAGUGUUCCGCCUGGGGAGUACGCACGCAAGUGUGAAACUCAAAGGAAUUGACGGGGGCCCGCACAAGCGAUGGAGUAUGCGGUUCAAUUCGAUGCAACGCGAAGAACCUUACCAGGGUUUGACAUCCUGCGAAUCUCUUGGAAACGAGAGAGUGCCUUCGGGAGCGCAGUGACAGGUGGUGCAUGGCUGUCGUCAGCUCGUGUCGUGAGAUGUUGGGUUAAGUCCCGCAACGAGCGCAACCCACGUCUUUAGUUGCCAGCAUUUAGUUGGGCACUCUAGAGAGACCGCCGGUGAUAAACCGGAGGAAGGUGUGGAUGACGUCAAGUCAUCAUGCCCCUUACAUCCUGGGCUACACACGUACUACAAUGCUACGGACAAAGGGCAGCAAGUUCGCGAGGACAAGCAAAUCCCAUAAACCGUGGCUCAGUUCCGAUCGUAGGCUGCAACUCGCCUACGUGAAGGAGGAAUCGCUAGUAAUCGCAGGUCAGCAUACUGCGGUGAAUACGUUCCCGGGCCUUGUACACACCGCCCGUCACACCAUGGAAGUUGGCCACGCCCGAAGCCGUUACUCCAACCCUCGGGAGGAGGACGUCGAAGGUGGGGCUGAUGACUGGGGUGAAGUCGUAACAAGGUAACC